CCUACGGGAUGCAGCAGGCGCGAAACCUCUGCAAUGCGGGAAACCGUGACAGGGGGAUCCCAAGUGCUCAUGCAUUGCAUGGGCUGUUCUCUGGUCUAAGUAACCAGAGGAGUAAGAGCUGGGCAAGACCGGUGCCAGCCGCCGCGGUAAUACCGGCAGCUCGAGUGGUAGCCGCGAUUAUUGGGCCUAAAGCGUUCGUAGCCGGAUAAGUAAGUCUUUGGUUAAAUCCUACGACUCAACCGUGGGAAAUCUAGAGAUACUGCUUGUCUUGAGACCGGGAGAGGUUGGAGGUACUCCUGGGGUAGGGGUGAAAUCCUAUAAUCCUAGGGGGACCACCUGUGGCGAAGGCGUCCAACUGGAACGGGUCUGACGGUGAGGGACGAAACCUAGGGGAGCGAGCCGGAUUAGAUACCCUCGUAGUCC
RNAcentral lists this ribosomal RNA (423 nucleotides) under uncultured euryarchaeote. RNAcentral's name for it is "bacterial SSU rRNA". It matches the Rfam family "Archaeal small subunit ribosomal RNA", at positions 322 to 747 of the family's 1478-position model. The record is from RNAcentral. Lineage: Archaea; Methanobacteriati; Methanobacteriota.